Amphibalanus amphitrite is the source of this 544-nucleotide long non-coding RNA. RefSeq lists it as uncharacterized. The transcript is spliced from 2 exons. The record is from RefSeq and is a predicted model, not a curated record. NCBI's taxonomy places the organism in Eukaryota, Metazoa, Arthropoda, Thecostraca, Balanomorpha, Balanidae.
CCGGCCGCGAGCCCGGUAUUUAAACCACCCCCCACCGUCCGCCGUCAGCAGACCUCCAGUUGUCGGUCAAGAGGACGGACUGAUUUCGCGCUCCUGCAGCUUGCGUCCAUAACAUAUCAACAUGCCUACCGGAAAGGAGAUGGGCCAGCAGGCUACCGAUAACCGAUCCAACCAGUUGAACCCGAACAACCCAACCUACCAGGGGGGAGCCAACCGACACACCGGCAACGCCGACUCCUUCGGGAAGUCGGCGGCCGACAACCGCUCAAACCAGAUGAACCCCAACAACCCCAGCUACCAGGGCAAGAAGUGAACGCUGCCGGGCCUACACGCCGCGGUAGCACUGCCAUCGUCCAGUGGCGGGAAACAUUUCCCACCAGCGGGUCGGGUGCCACAGCUGCGCUGACGCUUAUAUCCUGUUCAUUGAAAAUGAUUCGCUGAUCGCUCAGUAAACAUGUUAACAUGCUCCGUAAACUCGCUUAGGACGGCAAACACUGUGCCUCGUCUUUGUCAGAAUAAGUGAACAAUAAACUGAAACAGUAAA